RNAcentral lists this ribosomal RNA (1256 nucleotides) under uncultured eukaryote. RNAcentral's name for it is "SSU rRNA". It matches the Rfam family "Eukaryotic small subunit ribosomal RNA", at positions 382 to 1807 of the family's 1831-position model. The record is from RNAcentral.
UUCGGAGAGGGAGCCUGAGAAACGGCUACCACAUCUAGGGAUGGCAGCAGGCGCGCAAAUUACCCAAUGCAGGCACUGUGAGGUAGUGACGAGAAAUAAUAAAGCGGGACUUCUGUUUCGCUAUUAUAAUGAGGAAUAACCAAAGGUCAUUCCGAUUAGCAACUGAUGGGAAAGUCUGGUGCCAGCAGCCGCGGUAAUACCAGCGUCAGUAGCAUAUAUUAAAAUUGUUGCAGUUAAAACGUCCGUAGUCUGUACGUCGUUCUAAACUCACUGCAGUCUUCCGUUUUCUUAAUUGAAUGCGGUAGUUUCUGCAGUCACUCCCUUGAUCAAAUUAAGUUGUUCAAGGUAGACCAAGUCUUCAUAUUUUCACAUGGAAUUGGGUGAGGGAACUUAAGAGUUUAAGUUUCUCGUCUUAGGAUCAUCCGGGGUCAUUCGUACUCGUCCGCGAGAGGUGAAAUUUCUUGGACCGGACGAAGACGACCAGCAGCGAAAGCAUCUGUCAGGGAUGUUUUCUGCGACAAAGGACGAAGGUCAGGGUAUCGAAGACGAUUAGAUACCGUCGUAGUCCUGACUGUAAACUAUGCCAACUUGGGUCUUGCUGGGCGAUGCUUUGUGAGACCCACACAGAAAUGAAAGUGUAUGGGUUCUGGGGGUAGUAUGGACACAAGUCUGAAACUUGAAGGAAUUGACGGAAGAGCACCAUAAGACGUGGAGCUUGCGGCUUAAUUUGACUCAACGCGGGAAAACUUACCAGGUCAAGACAUGGGCGUGAUUGACAGGCUAAUGACUUUUCUCGAUUCCAUGGAUGGUGGUGCAUGGUCGCACUUAGUUGGUGCAGUGAUUUGUCAGGUUUAUUCCGGUAACGAACGAGACCUCGGCCUUGUAAAUAGCUAUGCUGCUUACAGGGACAUUGGCGGCUACGCCAAGGAAGCUCGAGGCAAUUGCAGAUCUGGAAUGCCCUUAGAUGUCCUGGGUCGCACGCGUGCUACAAUGACGCCACGAACGAGCUUGCAUGAUGAAAGUUAUGCAUAAUCAGCAGUCGGCGUCUUAAGGGAUAGUCUCUUGUAACUGUGGGACUCCAACUAGGAAUGUCUCGUAAGCACAAGUCAACAUCUUGUGUUGAUUACGUCCCUGCUCUUUGUACACACCGCCCGUCGCUCCUACCGAUCGAGUGUUUAGGUGAAUUUGAUGGACGUAAGGAAGUCAAAUAAACCUGAGCACUUAGAGGAAGGAGAAGUCGUAACAAGGUAGCCGUA